AGNCGACGCUUUGUGGNUCAACUGAUUUGAAGAGCUUGCUCAGAUAUGACGAUGGACAUUGCAAAGAGUGGCGAACGGGUGAGUAACACGUGGGAAACCUACCUCUUAGCAGGGGAUAACAUUUGGAAACAGAUGCUAAUACCGUAUAACAAUAGCAACCGCAUGGUUGCUACUUAAAAGAUGGUUCUGCUAUCACUAAGAGAUGGUCCCGCGGUGCAUUANNUAGUUGGUGAGGUAAUGGCUCACCAAGACGAUGAUGCAUAGCCGAGUUGAGAGACUGAUCGGCCACAAUGGGACUGAGACACGGCCCAUACUCCUACGGGAGGCAGCAGUAGGGAAUCUUCCACAAUGGGCGAAAGCCUGAUGGAGCAACGCCGCGUGUGUGAUGAAGGGUUUCGGCUCGUAAAACACUGUUGUAAGAGAAGAAUGACAUUGAGAGUAACUGUUCAAUGUGUGACGGUAUCUUACCAGAAAGGAACGGCUAAAUACGUGCCAGCAGCCGCGGU
Molecule: ribosomal RNA, 506 nt
Filed under: Weissella cibaria
Lineage: Bacteria; Bacillati; Bacillota; Bacilli; Lactobacillales; Lactobacillaceae
Description: bacterial SSU rRNA
Rfam family: Bacterial small subunit ribosomal RNA
Source: RNAcentral